RNAcentral lists this ribosomal RNA (262 nucleotides) under uncultured archaeon. Its description in RNAcentral is "partial 16S ribosomal RNA". It matches the Rfam family "Archaeal small subunit ribosomal RNA", at positions 748 to 1009 of the family's 1478-position model. The record is from RNAcentral.
UAGCCGUAAACGAUACUCGCUAGGUGUCGGCCACGGUGCGACCGUUGUCGGUGCCGUAGGGAAGCCGUGAAGCGAGCCACCUGGGAAGUACGGCCGCAAGGCUGAAACUUAAAGGAAUUGGCGGGGAGGCACCACAACGGGUGGAGCUUGCGGUUUAAUUUGGAUUCAACGCCGGAAAUCUUACCGGGACCGACAGCAACAUGAAGGCCAGGCUGAAGACUUUGCCGGAUUAGCUGAGAGGUGGUGCAUGGCGUAGUCGUGU